UAUGGUCCUUGUUUUCCCUCCGCCGCGGUAAAACGUAGGUCACAAGCGUUGUCCGGAAUUACUGGGUGUAAAGGGAGCGCAGGCGGGAAGACAAGUUGGAAGUGAAAUCUAUGGGCUCAACCCAUAAACUGCUUUCAAAACUGUUUUUCUUGAGUAGUGCAGAGGUAGGCGGAAUUCCCGGUGUAGCGGUGGAAUGCGUAGAUAUCGGGAGGAACACCAGUGGCGAAGGCGGCCUACUGGGCACCAACUGACGCUGAGGCUCGAAAGUGUGGGUAGCAAACAGG
RNAcentral lists this ribosomal RNA (284 nucleotides) under Faecalibacterium prausnitzii. RNAcentral describes it as "partial 16S ribosomal RNA". It matches the Rfam family "Bacterial small subunit ribosomal RNA", at positions 492 to 776 of the family's 1533-position model. Lineage: Bacteria; Bacillati; Bacillota; Clostridia; Eubacteriales; Oscillospiraceae. The record is from RNAcentral.